This 462-nucleotide ribosomal RNA is filed under the name uncultured bacterium. Its description in RNAcentral is "partial 16S ribosomal RNA". It matches the Rfam family "Bacterial small subunit ribosomal RNA", at positions 28 to 507 of the family's 1533-position model. The record is from RNAcentral.
GACGAACGCUGGCGGCGUGCUUAACACAUGCAGGUCGAACGGAAAGGCCCUGCGGGGUACUCGAGUGGCGAACGGGGGCGUAACACGUGGGUGAUCUGCCCUGCACUUUGGGAUAAGCCUGGGAAACUGGGUCUAAUACCGAAUAGGACCCCGCGCUUCAUGGGGUGUGGUGGAAAGCUUUUGCGGUGUGGGAUGGUCCCGCGGCCUAUCAGCGUGUUGGUGGGGUAAUGGCGUACCAAGGCGCCGACGGGUCGCCGGCCUGAGAGGGUGACCGGCCACACUGGGACUGAGAGAGGGCCCAGACUGCUACGGGAGGCAGCAGUGGGGAAUAUUGCACAAUGGGCGCAAGCCUGAUGCAGCGACGCCGCGUGAGGGAUGACGGCCUUCGGGUUGUAAACCUCUUUCAAUAGGGACGAAGCGCAAGUGACGGUACCUAUAGAAGAAGCACCGGCCAACUACGUG